GGCCAUUUUCGCACCAUGGCCAUUUCGCAGGUUAACAAAGCGACACUAUAGCGUCUUGCCAGCUGCCGUAUCUGUCGACCUCGGCAGCCACCUUGUCGGCGACCAGGUACAACGUCACAGCUGCUCGAGGUUCCUGCUGUGUUUCUUUUGGUUCGCGCUGCGUGAUCGGACAACAAGAAAACUGCUCGCUCCAGAGACGUACUUGCUUCCACGAGACUUCAAGGAGACUCGGCUUCACGCAACCACUGUAAAGGUAACCUCGGUCACGGGGCCCACAGUUGAUUCUGCGCCAGAAUCAUGCUUCCGUACUUUCAACAUCACCCUGCGUGCUGACAGUAUUGCGCUCUUCGUAUGGCUGACGGCUCGCCAUCUGAGCGGUCGCUUCUCUGACAACGGAUUCUUGCUCAAGAAUCCAACUAUUAUUGUUCACUUUCACACGCGAGAAAAGGUAACUGCCGAAGCGCUCGAGAAAGCCGUAAUGAUAGAAACUCUCGCAAAUUACGUGAGA
This is a long non-coding RNA of Rhipicephalus microplus (southern cattle tick), 508 nucleotides long. NCBI's taxonomy places the organism in Eukaryota, Metazoa, Arthropoda, Arachnida, Ixodida, Ixodidae. The record is from RefSeq and is a predicted model, not a curated record.